GAUGAAGAACGUAGCGAAAUGCGAUAAGUAGUGUGAAUUGCAGAAUUCAGUGAAUCAUCGAAUCUUUGAACGCACAUUGCGCCCUUUGGUAUUCCAAAGGGCAUGCCUGUUCGAGCGUCAUUUGUACCCUCAAGCUUUGCUUGGUGUUGAGCGUCUUGUCUCUAGCUUUGCUGGAGACUCGCCUUAAAGUAAUUGGCAGCCGGCCUACUGGUUUCGGAGCGCAGCACAAGUCGCACUCUCUAUCAGCAAAGGUCUAGCAUCCAUUAAGCCUUUUUUUCAACUUUUGACCUCGGAUCAGGUAGGGAUACCCGCUGAACUUAAGCAUAUCAAUAAGCGGAGGA
Molecule: unclassified non-coding RNA, 341 nt
Filed under: soil metagenome
Description: partial contains 5.8S ribosomal RNA, internal transcribed spacer 2, and large subunit ribosomal RNA
Rfam family: 5.8S ribosomal RNA (bases 1-120)
Source: RNAcentral